This 18-nucleotide unclassified non-coding RNA is filed under the name Chlamydomonas reinhardtii. RNAcentral's name for it is "small RNA Cre_2511". The record is from RNAcentral. Lineage: Eukaryota; Viridiplantae; Chlorophyta; Chlorophyceae; Chlamydomonadales; Chlamydomonadaceae.
UCAGGUGCCAGGGUGGAU